GUAUUUGAUUUAUAAAGGCACAAAGGCCAAUUUAAAGACAUUCUGUUACAUUCAUGGGGUGUAUAUGAAGACGUAAACUAGGAACACAAGGGAAAGCUGGCUUUUUCGCACAGCAGGCCCCUCAAACCGAGUUUCCUCGAGAGAUAUUCCAUGUCUACAAAAGGUGCACAGGUGGUAAAAAUGGUGCUAGGUGUGCACAUGCUCCAAAGAGCCAGCAGCAACCCAACCAAGUUUAUUCAAUAAUGAUCCUUCCGCAGGUUCACCUACGGAAA
RNAcentral lists this unclassified non-coding RNA (272 nucleotides) under uncultured fungus. RNAcentral's name for it is "sequence contains ITS1". The record is from RNAcentral. Lineage: Eukaryota; Fungi.